UGGGGAAUAUUGGGCAAUGGGCGCAAGCCUGACCCAGCAACGCCGCGUGAAGGAUGAAGGUCUUCGGAUUGUAAACUUUUGUCUUAUGGGAAGAAAUUUGACGGUACCAUAGGAGGAAGCCACGGCUAACUACGUGCCAGCAGCCGCGGUAAUACGUAGGUGGCGAGCGUUAUCCGGAUUUACUGGGUGUAAAGGGCGUGUAGGCGGGCUAUUAAGUCUGAUGUGAAAUACCGAGGCUUAACUUCGGGGCUGCAUUGGAAACUGAUAGUCUUGAGUGCAGGAGAGGGAAGUGGAAUUCCUAGUGUAGCGGUGAAAUGCGUAGAUAUUAGGAGGAACACCAGUGGCGAAGGCGACUUUCUGGACUGUAACUGACGCUGAGACGCGAAAGCGUGGGGAGCAAACA
Molecule: ribosomal RNA, 403 nt
Filed under: uncultured Eubacteriales bacterium
Lineage: Bacteria; Bacillati; Bacillota; Clostridia; Eubacteriales
Description: uncultured Clostridiales bacterium partial 16S ribosomal RNA
Rfam family: Bacterial small subunit ribosomal RNA
Source: RNAcentral